Molecule: long non-coding RNA, 648 nt
Organism: Ostrea edulis (European flat oyster)
Lineage: Eukaryota; Metazoa; Mollusca; Bivalvia; Ostreida; Ostreidae
Exons: 3
Source: RefSeq, a predicted model, not a curated record
UAACGCUCUAUUGCAUCACAUCCGACUAAAAAAAUGACCAGGGAAACAGAAGGCUGACAGACAUAUUCAUAGAAAAUAUGAAAAAGCCCUGCCUGUUGCCGUGUUGGAACUUGUAUUGACCUGUAUGAGCAUCAUACUGUGCAAAUCACCUAAAGAUGGAGUUGACCAAGUUGCUGACUUUGAGGAGAACUUGAAGAGCAGAAGAUGCAUUCCAUGACUCUUAUGUGAUAUAGAAGACAAAGAAGAGCUCUUGAGAAUGGAAAAAAACUGCGAGUUUUACAGUUAAUGAACACACCUCGCGACACAAGUCCAUCCUGAUUCAGUAAACUGUUCUUCUAAGGAAACAACAUGACUUAGUUAAGAUCAAGUUUUGGUGUCAGAAGACUAAUGUAACUAAAACAUUGCAAAAUUAACCUGCAAGUGUCUUAUGUGAGCCUACUGAAUAAGGAUUCAUUACUGAACAGUUGAAGGAAAAUCACUAUUAUAAUGAUUUUUAAAAAAAGAUGAUUGUGUUGUUUGGAUAACAUUGUGAUCCAUGUUUGUUGAAUAAACAACUUUGCAAAAAUGAGUUGUUCUGUGUUUAAUAUUAUAAAUUUACUAAUUAGGCCAUGCCAAUUUGUAAUCUAGUUCGUCGGAUUCGCCGCUUCU